Molecule: ribosomal RNA, 385 nt
Filed under: uncultured bacterium
Lineage: Bacteria
Description: bacterial SSU rRNA
Rfam family: Bacterial small subunit ribosomal RNA
Source: RNAcentral
AUUGAACGCUGGCGGAAUGCUUUACACAUGCAAGUCGAACGGCAGCACGGGAGCUUGCUCCUGGUGGCGAGUGGCGAACGGGUGAGUAACAUAUCGGAACGUAUCCAAUAAUGGGGGAUAACUAAUCGAAAGGUUGGCUAAUACCGCAUACGCCCUACGGGGAAAGCAGGGAUCUUCGGACCUUGCGUUAAUGGAGCGGCCGAUAUCUGAUUAGCUAGUUGGUGAGGUAAAGGCUCACCAAGGCGACGAUCAGUAGCUGGUCUGAGAGGACGACCAGCCACACUGGAACUGAGACACGGUCCAGACUCCUACGGGAGGCAGCAGUGGGGAAUUUUGGACAAUGGGCGCAAGCCUGAUCCAGCCAUUCCGCGUGAGUGAAGAAGGC